This 157-nucleotide ribosomal RNA is filed under the name Hypocenomyce scalaris. RNAcentral's name for it is "5.8S ribosomal RNA". It matches the Rfam family "5.8S ribosomal RNA". From Rfam's summary of the family: 5.8S ribosomal RNA (5.8S rRNA) is a component of the large subunit of the eukaryotic ribosome. It is transcribed by RNA polymerase I as part of the 45S precursor that also contains 18S and 28S rRNA. Lineage: Eukaryota; Fungi; Ascomycota; Lecanoromycetes; Umbilicariales; Ophioparmaceae. The record is from RNAcentral.
AAAACUUUCAACAACGGAUCUCUUGGUUCUGGCAUCGAUGAAGAACGCAGCGAAAUGCGAUAAGUAAUGUGAAUUGCAGAAUUCAGUGAAUCAUCGGAUCUUUGAACGCACAUUGCGCCCCUUGGUAUUCCGAGGGGCAUGCCUGUUCGAGCGUCAU